RNAcentral lists this small nuclear RNA (105 nucleotides) under Lynx canadensis (Canada lynx). RNAcentral also lists the same sequence under 1 other name. Lineage: Eukaryota; Metazoa; Chordata; Mammalia; Carnivora; Felidae. The record is from RNAcentral.
GUGCUCACUUCAGCAGCACAUAUACUAAAAUUGGAAUGCUAGAGAAGAUUAGCAUGGCCCUUAAGCAAGGAUGACAUGCAAAUUCAUGAAGUGUUGCAUAUUUUA